RNAcentral lists this ribosomal RNA (207 nucleotides) under uncultured bacterium. RNAcentral describes it as "partial 16S ribosomal RNA". It matches the Rfam family "Bacterial small subunit ribosomal RNA", at positions 568 to 774 of the family's 1533-position model. The record is from RNAcentral.
CAUGCAGGCGGUCUGUUAAGUCAGAUGUGAAAGCCCCGGGCUUAACCUGGGAACUGCAUUUGAUACUGGCAGACUAGAGUCUGGUAGAGGGAAGUGGAAUUCCACAUGUAGCGGUGAAAUGCGUAGAGAUGUGGAGGAACACCAGCGGCGAAGGCGACUUCCUGGACCAAGACUGACGCUCAGAUGCGAAAGCGUGGGGAGCAAACA